CGCACGGGUGAGUAACACGUAUCCAACCUGCCGAUAACUCGGGGAUAGCCUUUCGAAAGAAAGAUUAAUACCCGAUGGUAUAAUCAGACCGCAUGGUCUUGUUAUUAAAGAAUUUCGGUUAUCGAUGGGGAUGCGUUCCAUUAGGCAGUUGGUGAGGUAACGGCUCACCAAACCUUCGAUGGAUAGGGGUUCUGAGAGGAAGGUCCCCCACAUUGGAACUGAGACACGGUCCAAACUCCUACGGGAGGCAGCAGUGAGGAAUAUUGGUCAAUGGGCGCAGGCCUGAACCAGCCAAGUAGCGUGAAGGAUGACUGCCCUAUGGGUUGUAAACUUCUUUUAUAUGGGAAUAAAGUUUUCCACGUGUGGAAUUUUGUAUGUACCAUAUGAAUAAGGAUCGGCUAACUCCGUGCCAGCAGCCGCGGUAAUACGGAGGAUCCGAGCGUUAUCCGGAUUUAUUGGGUUUAAAGGGAGCGUAGGUGGACAGUUAAGUCAGUUGUGAAAGUUUGCGGCUCAACCGUAAAAUUGCAGUUGAUACUGGCUGUCUUGAGUACAGUAGAGGUGGGCGGAAUUCGUGGUGUAGCGGUGAAAUGCUUAGAUAUC
RNAcentral lists this ribosomal RNA (600 nucleotides) under uncultured Bacteroidales bacterium. Its description in RNAcentral is "bacterial SSU rRNA". It matches the Rfam family "Bacterial small subunit ribosomal RNA", at positions 99 to 698 of the family's 1533-position model. The record is from RNAcentral. Lineage: Bacteria; Pseudomonadati; Bacteroidota; Bacteroidia; Bacteroidales.